Molecule: transfer RNA, 72 nt
Filed under: Camelus bactrianus (Bactrian camel)
Lineage: Eukaryota; Metazoa; Chordata; Mammalia; Artiodactyla; Camelidae
Also listed under: 1 other name
Rfam family: tRNA
About the family: Transfer RNA (tRNA) molecules are approximately 80 nucleotides in length. Their secondary structure includes four short double-helical elements and three loops (D, anti-codon, and T loops). Further hydrogen bonds mediate the characteristic L-shaped molecular structure. tRNAs have two regions of fundamental functional importance: the anti-codon, which is responsible for specific mRNA codon recognition, and the 3' end, to which the tRNAs corresponding amino acid is attached (by aminoacyl-tRNA synthetases). tRNAs cope with the degeneracy of the genetic code in two manners: having more than one tRNA (with a specific anti-codon) for a particular amino acid; and 'wobble' base-pairing, i.e. permitting non-standard base-pairing at the 3rd anti-codon position.
Source: Rfam by way of RNAcentral
GAAGAGAUAGCUCAGUGGCAGAGCACAUGCUUAGCACGCACAAGGUCCUGGGUUCAAUCCCCAGUACCUCCA